This is a long non-coding RNA of Helianthus annuus (common sunflower), 2218 nucleotides long. RefSeq lists it as uncharacterized. Lineage: Eukaryota; Viridiplantae; Streptophyta; Magnoliopsida; Asterales; Asteraceae. The transcript is spliced from 4 exons. The record is from RefSeq and is a predicted model, not a curated record.
GCAUCGGCGUAUAUCUUCCUCUCAAAACCCUACAACCGUAAAACUAAAACAAGUGAGAAAUCAAUAGCCACUCCAUCUGAUCUAAUCCAUUUAUUGACUGAAGAAUACGGAGAGUGGGGAGCAGACACCAGUUUUGGAGGUCAUUCAAUCGUUCAAAUCAAUAAGCAUAAUCUGAACUUGGUCAUUUGUUUGGCCAAUGAUGGAGCGGUGAGGGUUUAAUCGGAGCAUCAAAGUCCAUCGGGUCAAGGGUUUCUACCAUGAUAUGACGAAAGGUCAGUGAUGUUGUUUGGGGCGAUAGCAGUGGUAGGUGGUGGAAAAAUCGAAGCCUCAACAGUGGCGGCUUUAGGGUUCCUUCAUGAGUCAGUCUGGAGCGGUUAGGAUUCCGGCAGAGGAAUCCUCAGAUGGUGAAGUUGAGGUUUGGUAGUGACUAUGGUGGUGAUUACAGGUAGUCAGGAAUGUAAGAAAAGUUGUUCUGUUGUUAAAACUGCUAAAAUUGCUUGAUUCUCUUAUUGAUUUUGGAUUACGAACUUAUUUUUUUUAUCUAAUGAGGCCUUUGAAUUGAUAUCAUAGUUCUAUUAAUAUGAUAUAUUUGCUUUAUAUUUAUGUGAUGAUUUGUGCAGGACUUUUUUUGUUACGAUGACAACGAUUCAAUGGCGGUUGAAGAAGAUUCGACGGUGGUGUCAAGGUUGUGGUCGUUUUAGAAUAGGGGAAUUGGAUAUCGUUUUAUGCGUGUGUAAAUAUUCGUUUUUUAUUCAAAUAAGUUAUAUUAUCAUCAUAAGAUUAUUGUUUUCAUGAUAUUGUUUUUAUGAAUGAUCAAGAAGGUGAAACGUUGCAUUCAUGAUCCCGGCAGGCUGAGAUAGAGGGUUGCAGGUCACCAUUGCAGCAGGAACCGCCAUUUGCAGUCACACCACUGAUAUUGGUUUUAGAAGAUGCUUUCUUACGGUUAAAAGAAAGUGGAACUGGUCCAAACUUGGAAGGUUUGUUAAUCUCUUUCGAAGAAUUCAAACUGAGAUCCGGUUUGUGGGCAUAUAUGACAAGUUCAUGAACGCCUUCUUAAAUGACGUUAAAAGGCUUAAAUUCGGCAAUGGUUUUAGUGAAGGUGUGGCCCAGGGACCAUUUAUCGAUGAAGCUGCUAUAUAGAAGGAUGUGCGUUGUGGCACCAGUUAGCGCCGGGUGAGCCACGUAGGCGGCCAGGUGGCUCACGAGCACAACAACGGGGUGCCACAAGCGGUCACAUGUGAGCGCUGGGGUGAGCAUGGUCGCCGGGUGAGCCACGUAGUCGGUCAGGUGGCUCGCGAGACACACCAGUUAGUGCCGGGUGAACCACGUAGGCGGCCAGGGGGCUCGCGAUGAUUCGUGAAGCUUUCUUAUCAUUUUUGAAGCUCUCCUAACGUUUUAACAAUAAAUGGCGAUUUGUGCGUAAACUUCAACAAAGCACCGACUUAGUGUUUGGGUUUGUAUCUCUGGUAACCCGAAUUUAGAGUUGCAUUAUGCAGUCAUUGUUUUUAUUCCUCUAAUUUUGACUUGAUUGUUCCAAUAGCGCUAGAGGAAGGUGCAGACAAAUCAUACUCGAGAGGACUUUCUAUAGCAACUUGUUGCCACCAUCUCUGCCAAUGGAAGCAUUAUAUCAGUAAAACCCAUAUCCCGACCUUUAGUUACUUUAAGUUUGUUAUAUGUCUCAUGAAAGUAACCCUAAAUGCUUGCUGGCGUGCAGAUAAAGAUUUUUUUCUUAAAUUUAGGGAUUACGAAAGACGAUUUCCAUGCAAUUACAUGGUUUACCAGCUGGGCCGUAGAUGUAGACCAUAGCUCAGACGUUGCUAAUACAAACACGUUAUUAAUUGCCCUUUUAAGAUAUUAUGAAGUGACCGGCCUGUUACUUUAUUUGAAGUGAUGAAUGUAUUCUGUUUGUGUUUGGCAGGGAAAAUGUUAAGAAUAUCUGUGGAGAUAGAAAUAUGUCUGUUGCAGAGAGCGCUGCGCUAGGGUUUAUGUGCAAAGAUAUUAUUGAUGCAGGGAGGUUUAUGUGGCUGAGGGAAUAUGGACUAGAAUCCAAGUUGUCAAAUAUGUUCCAUCUAACAUCUCGCCUGAAAACCAUUUGCUCAUCGCAAAGCGUUGAGGAUCUUGAUUUGGAAUUUAGAAUUGGGAACAUAGAUAGGAAAACACCAUGUAAGAGUUGACUAUGUAUUUCAUUUUGAUACUAAUUAAGAUGAAACUUUAGUUU